AUUGAACGCUGGCGGCAGGCCUAACACAUGCAAGUCGAGCGGAUGAAGAGAGCUUGCUCUCUGAUUCAGCGGCGGACGGGUGAGUAAUGCCUAGGAAUCUGCCUGGUAGUGGGGGACAACGUUUCGAAAGGAACGCUAAUACCGCAUACGUCCUACGGGAGAAAGUGGGGGAUCUUCGGACCUCACGCUAUCAGAUGAGCCUAGGUACGAUUAGCUAGUUGGUGAGGUAAAGGCUCACCAAGGCGACGAUCGUUAACUGGUCUGAGAGGAUGAUCAGUCACACUGGAACUGAGACACGGUCCAGACUCCAACGGGAGGCAGCAGUGGGGAAUAUUGGACAAUGGGCGAAAGCCUGAUCCAGCCAUGCCGCGUGUGUGAAGAAGGUCUUCGGAUUGUAAAGCACUUUAAGUUGGGAGGAAGGGCAGUAAGUUAAUACCUUGCUGUUUUGACGUUACCGACAGAAUAAGCACCGGCUAACUUCGUGCCAGCAGCCGCCGUAA
RNAcentral lists this ribosomal RNA (500 nucleotides) under uncultured bacterium. RNAcentral describes it as "partial 16S ribosomal RNA". It matches the Rfam family "Bacterial small subunit ribosomal RNA", at positions 30 to 523 of the family's 1533-position model. The record is from RNAcentral.